ACUGCUGCUGAAGAAGUAGUAGUGGAGCAAAGUGCAGGCAGUCAGGAUGAUAAAUAUUGCCACUGUCAGCAGCCAGAAUAUGGAGACAUGAUUAGGUGUGAUGGGAAGCAUUGCAGUCGACAAUGGUUUCACUUUCAGUGUGUUAAUUUGAAGAGGGCACCUAAAUCGCGGAAAUGGUUUUGUAAUGACUGCAAGAAGGUGUAAAAAAAGUACUGUACAUUUACUAGAUGCUUUGCACUAAGGACACGUCAGUCAAAUGGUACAACAGAGUCGCACAGGUUGGUAAGUGCGGCACACACAAAUACAACCUUGUCAAGUGCGCUGACUUUUAUGCCGUUAAGCACCUUCGGCUCCAAAAAUUCAGUGGGAAGAGUGCUUUUGAGAAUGGAGUACUUGUUCCUGACUAACCCAAUAACUCUUUCAACAUGAAUCCUAACAUUUGCUAGCCUACGUGUUGCCUCAACAGAGUAUGCAGUAAGCUGCGGCUUCCCUUUAGUGAAGGCUGGGAUUUCCAGCUUCGCUCCACACAUGCCCACGGCAUCAGAGAUCAAGAAACCCCUGUCAGCCAGCACAGAGUCGCCAGGUAGCAGGUUGCUAAGAAUGCCACACGAUUCUGUCAGCAUUUUGUCACUGGUACGCCCACCCCACCCUCUUGAUAUGUACGUAAUUACACCUUGUGGAGCGAUGCCAAUUAAGUACUUCACGGUGUUUGCAUGCUUGUACGUAGACCAUGUUAAUGAUCUAGGUUCCAUGGCUGAAGGUCUGUCCACAAAGACUUCAAAACAAUCCAGAAUCACAGCUACUUUCUUGCCAAAUGUUUCUUGGAAUGCCAUUGGCAUCGUUCUUUGAAGAUCUUCACGUUCUGGCCAUUUGAUCAGACUGCUGAGCCUAAUGUAAGCAGCAUCAAGCCACCUUUCUACUGUCCUCGUUACGGUUGACUGGUGAAUGCCAAACCUGUAAGAUAAAACUGCUGAGUUGUUAUGUGCUUUAGUAAGUGUUAUUGAAGCUAAUGCAAUAAAGUUCACCAGCACAAAAUGGCUAUUGCAUGCUCAACUGCAGUUCUGCGUAGUGCAGGAACCUUAAUGUUACAAAUGAAUAUAGGUAUGGCUGUUGCCCAGAAUAAAAUACCUGUAUGCAAGAUCUUGUAACGGGACGUUAAGCCGCAACCUCAUUAGGAAAACGACCAUUUCCUGAAAUUUGCUCAGGCGGUUUCGUAAUGUAUGCCUUACAUGAGGCUCAACUAAGAUGUAAACAGCCUCCAAAACUGCAUAAUUUGGCAGCCCUGUGUAAAAAACAACCAUGUCUGGGUUGCUGCGGAGCACAUCCCUGUCUCCAGGGGCUGCCUUUGCCAGGCGACUGCGUGCAAUAUCCAGGUCAUGCUGAAGGCGGUGGUUUUCUUCCUCCAGUGAAGAGAUGUGGGCUGACAGCAGGUCAGCUGUCACCUCUUUGUCUAUCAUGCCUGCAUGAUAAAUUGAAUGUGUGAUGACCAUAUGAAGGGAAAGCACUGGUGUCAACACAAUGUAUAAUGAUGUUACUUGUUUCAGCACCUUUACAUGAGGAUUUUUAUUAUUGUAAUAAAUAAUGACCUUGAA
RNAcentral lists this long non-coding RNA (1592 nucleotides) under Dermacentor andersoni. Its description in RNAcentral is "uncharacterized LOC126548217". The record is from RNAcentral. Lineage: Eukaryota; Metazoa; Arthropoda; Arachnida; Ixodida; Ixodidae.